This 99-nucleotide microRNA precursor is filed under the name Cricetulus griseus (Chinese hamster). RNAcentral describes it as "miRNA (ENSCGRG00001006806.1)". The record is from RNAcentral. Lineage: Eukaryota; Metazoa; Chordata; Mammalia; Rodentia; Cricetidae.
UAUAUUUGCUUAGUGCUUAUAUGUAUGUGUGCAUACACAUGUACAUAUAUGUAAAUGUAACUGUAAUCCAACUUCCUUCUUACAGACUUUCCACUAGAA